UAGUAGUCAUACGCUCGUCUCAAAGAUUAAGCCAUGCAUGUGUAAGUAUAAAUAGUUAACUUUGAAACUGCGAAUGGCUCAUUAUAUCAGUUAUAGUUUAUUUGAUGAAGAAUACUAAUUGGAUAACCGUAGUAAUUCUAGAGCUAAUACAUGUGUAAAGUCUUGUAGACUGCAUUUAUUAGAAUGAAAACCAUAGGUUUCGGCCUAUUCGUGAGUAAUAAUAACUAAUCAUAUCGUAUGCUUAUGUAACGAUGUGUCUUUCAAGUUUCUGCCCUAUCAGCUUUCGAUGGUAGUGUAUUGGACUACCAUGGCAGUAACGGGUAACGAAGAA
RNAcentral lists this ribosomal RNA (331 nucleotides) under Blastocystis sp. RNAcentral's name for it is "SSU rRNA". It matches the Rfam family "Eukaryotic small subunit ribosomal RNA", at positions 18 to 369 of the family's 1831-position model. The record is from RNAcentral. Lineage: Eukaryota; Bigyra; Opalinata; Blastocystidae.